UGUUGUGUAAUUUAUUUAAUGGUUCUCAAUAAUUUGUUAAAUGUUGUUGGAACGCGGUUUGUAAAUUGAGAACAGUCCCUUAAAGCGCAUUUUGUAAAUUUAGAGCAAUCCCAUAAAUAGCUUGAUUAAAUUCGUGAUUUGGUUCUGAAUAAUAAUAUUCUCAAUAUUUUUUAUAUAUUCUGUUUGUUUAUUUACUGUUUGUUUACAACUUUAAACCAGUUUGCACUAAAUUCUGUGCAGUUCUCUUGGCCAUCUGGUCUCACUACCAGUUGGAUUUAGUUUGUGAAAUCGGCGGAUCUGAGGUAGAAUUUUAUAUUAAAGGCUCUAUUUACGGCUUUAUUUACAAGUGAAAUCUUUUUAAGACAGUGAAAUAGUUAUUAACCCAUUGAUGCCAAAAGCGUCAUUUUUGAUCCGUUCUAAAACUUUUAAAUUUGGAAGAUUUUCUUAUUUCAUUUAACUUUUUUCAAUAUUCUUAUUAAACUAAAUUCUUAUUUGAGCAGUGCAUCUUAUUGGGUUAUAUUUUAUCUUUUUGUUCUUGCACUUUAUAUACUUUUAAUUUAGCAAGCGUGCAUUGUGGUUUAUAUUGGUUCAGCAGUAUCCUUAGGCAAACUUAUUGCUCUCCUUAAGCAAACUUAUUGCUCAAGACCCUGCUGGAUCUACCCUAGCUCUGUUCAACCCCGAUCAGCGAAACAAUUUUUGAAACCGCUGUGCUGUUUUUGAAACCGCUGUGCUGUUAUCAAUCUGUGAACUGAUCGGAACCCUUUCUAAGAAGAUUGUAUUUAUUAAUAAAGAUUUACGUUACUUAA
Long non-coding RNA from Eurytemora carolleeae, 806 nucleotides. RefSeq lists it as uncharacterized. The transcript has 3 exons. NCBI's taxonomy places the organism in Eukaryota, Metazoa, Arthropoda, Copepoda, Calanoida, Temoridae. The record is from RefSeq and is a predicted model, not a curated record.